UCCUCCACCAACACACUGUGUGGACAAGCCCAUCACACCCAUCCACUUUCACAGCGCUCUCGCCUCCUGUAGACGAGAAUAACCAGUUAAUAACUCCUUACACUCCACUCAGAGCGCUUUACAGUAACGGGGACUCCCCUCCUCCACCACCAGUGUGCAUCCCCACCUGCAAGGGUAUACACUACAAGCAAUUCUCCUUUUGCUUUUAACUCGUUAACCGGCUAAGUCAUAAACAACCUUGCUUGCUACACUUGCAGAACACCAGGAAUGCACACCACGGACCGCGGCGAGGCGACCAGCCGCGCAGACCCACCGAGCGCAGGCUCGCUCACGACGACUUCGUGCGAGCGCGCAGCCACAUCCUGUCUGGCGGGUACGCGCAGGGCAAUCCGAGCCCGGCGGCGUGCUUUUGUAUCCAGGUGUGCGAAAGCCAAGCGGAUGCUGCCAUCGGGACCGCUGCAGGGGGAAUUCGCCGUCGCUGUACCAGCUCUGCAAAGAAUCCUCAGUUACUGUCUUCCAAAAUCACAAGGAAAAACCAGGAGUGACCCUGGGAAUUGGGGUUUAUUUACCUGCAGUGCCGUGCUGAGCUCAACAGCAGGUUAACACAUCCCCUGUGCGUGCUACCAGAGCAGACACGCCGUGUGAUGAUAACGCGUUUUCGGAGAUCCUUCCUGGGUGAACCUUCCUGAGCCUGUGGUGGGAAGCUUUCAAAUCCUCAAUGUCCCCAGGCUUGAACAUGUGGACAGAAGAAACGCAGCACCUGAAAGGCAAGUGUCAGUUCUUGUGUCUGGUAAAUUUAGACAAUUACAUGCCGAGAUCCCAACUCACAGAUAUCAAUAUCGCUGUGCAUUCUUUGGUGAGUCAGAGACAAAGUCACACUUUAUUGAUAUGAGAUAGGCUGUACCAGAGAGAGGAAGGGGAAGGAAAUCUUUUUAUAUCCUUUAAGCCAGCCAUGUGUUGCUGCUUUCUGCUCUAAUGCUAGAAUAAGCAGAGCCACA
Molecule: long non-coding RNA, 998 nt
Filed under: Lepisosteus oculatus (spotted gar)
Lineage: Eukaryota; Metazoa; Chordata; Actinopteri; Semionotiformes; Lepisosteidae
Description: lncRNA (ENSLOCG00000022651.1)
Source: RNAcentral